This 400-nucleotide ribosomal RNA is filed under the name uncultured bacterium. RNAcentral's name for it is "bacterial SSU rRNA". It matches the Rfam family "Bacterial small subunit ribosomal RNA", at positions 505 to 905 of the family's 1533-position model. The record is from RNAcentral.
GUGCCAGCAGCCGCGGUAAUACGGAGGGGGUUAGCGUUGUUCGGAAUUACUGGGCGUAAAGCGCACGUAGGCGGACUGGAAAGUUGGGGGUGAAAUCCCGGGGCUCAACCCCGGAACUGCCUCCAAAACUACUAGUCUAGAGUUCGAGAGAGGUGAGUGGAAUUCCGAGUGUAGAGGUGAAAUUCGUAGAUAUUCGGAGGAACACCAGUGGCGAAGGCGGCUCACUGGCUCGAUACUGACGCUGAGGUGCGAAAGUGUGGGGAGCAAACAGGAUUAGAUACCCUGGUAGUCCACACCGUAAACGAUGAAUGCCAGUCGUCGGCAAGCAUGCUUGUCGGUGACACACCUAACGGAUUAAGCAUUCCGCCUGGGGAGUACGGUCGCAAGAUUAAAACUCAAA